This is a long non-coding RNA of Zingiber officinale, 631 nucleotides long. RefSeq lists it as uncharacterized. The record is from RefSeq and is a predicted model, not a curated record. Lineage: Eukaryota; Viridiplantae; Streptophyta; Magnoliopsida; Zingiberales; Zingiberaceae. The transcript has 3 exons.
CCCCUUUGUGGUGGAUGAUUGAAGAUCUUUGAUGGUUUUACUUUACCUAGUAGAACAAUUACAUUAGUUUUCUACAUUGAUUUAACUAUAGAGAUAUUUUUAGGGCGAAGUUGUGGAAUUGAUUCCAGUGGAUGCAUACAUGGAGCUGUCUUCAUGAUGCUAUUGGAGCUUUUAGUAGCUUGCGACAUCUUUCAAAAAUGUUGAAGCGAUGGCUGUCGUUAGUUUCCAAGUGUGUCCUCACUUUGAGCAAAAUUUCAGGAUUCAAAAGAUCCAAAUCAUUUAGUACUACUAGCUCCCACCAAGCUCAAAAAGCUAUUAUUGAGGUAUCUCUGGAAUAUCGAGAAGAUUUUUCAAGGCUUCAGGUGCUGAAUCAGGCGAGUUAGAAAUUAUUAAGUUAAUAUCCAAAAUCCAUUCCUUGGGCUUUGAGAACACAGGCUUGCGUUGGAAGUAAUGGCUACUCUUUACAAAUUUAUUUGAUGAGCAUUUUUUGUGCUAUGAAUUAUGAUUGUGAUGUUUUUGAUGCGUCAAAAAUUGUCUUUUGAUUUGAUUACUCAUCUUGUCAUUUAUUUCUUAGAAAAUCUUGAUCAUAUUCUCAUUUCAUUCAGAUCUACUUUUAAAAAUCGUAGGGGAA